Molecule: transfer RNA, 69 nt
Filed under: Ceratomantis saussurii
Lineage: Eukaryota; Metazoa; Arthropoda; Insecta; Mantodea; Hymenopodidae
Description: tRNA-Ser
Rfam family: tRNA
About the family: Transfer RNA (tRNA) molecules are approximately 80 nucleotides in length.
Source: RNAcentral
AGUUAUAAACUUUAAGAAAAGAUUAUGUUUUGAAAACAUAAUGAAAGGGUUUAAAUCCCUUAUUAACUU